This 223-nucleotide ribosomal RNA is filed under the name uncultured bacterium. RNAcentral's name for it is "partial 16S ribosomal RNA". It matches the Rfam family "Bacterial small subunit ribosomal RNA", at positions 118 to 351 of the family's 1533-position model. The record is from RNAcentral.
UGGAUCAUCUACCUUCAGGUGGGGGAUAACCCGGGGAAACUCGGGCUAAUACCGCAUAACAUCGCGAGAUCAAAGGGGCGCAAGUCCCGCCAGAAGAGGAGUCCGCGUUCGAUUAGCUAGUUGGUAGGGUAAUGGCCUACCAAGGCCACGAUCGAUAGCCGGCCUGAGAGGGUGAUCGGCCACACUGGAACUGAGACACGGUCCAGACUCCUACGGGAGGCAG